AUUGAACGCUGGCGGCAUGCCUUACACAUGCAAGUCGAACGGCAGCGGACCUUCGGGUGCCGGCGAGUGGCGAACGGGUGAGUAAUAUAUCGGAACGUACCUUUCAGUGGGGGAUAACGUAGCGAAAGUUACGCUAAUACCGCAUAUUCUGUGAGCAGGAAAGCAGGGGAUCGCAAGACCUUGCGCUGAUUGAGCGGCCGAUAUCAGAUUAGCUAGUUGGUGAGGUAAAGGCUCACCAAGGCGACGAUCUGUAGCGGGUCUGAGAGGAUGAUCCGCCACACUGGAACUGAGACACGGUCCAGACUCCUACGGGAGGCAGCAGUGGGGAAUUUUGGACAAUGGGCGCAAGCCUGAUCCAGCAAUGCCGCGUGCAGGAUGAAGGCCUUCGGGUUGUAAACUGCUUUUGUACGGACGAAACGGCUCUUUCUAAUAAAGGGAGCUAAUGACGGUACCGUAAGAAUAAGCACCGGCUAACUACGUGCCAG
RNAcentral lists this ribosomal RNA (485 nucleotides) under uncultured bacterium. Its description in RNAcentral is "bacterial SSU rRNA". It matches the Rfam family "Bacterial small subunit ribosomal RNA", at positions 30 to 511 of the family's 1533-position model. The record is from RNAcentral.